RNAcentral lists this non-coding RNA (45 nucleotides) under Schistosoma haematobium. Lineage: Eukaryota; Metazoa; Platyhelminthes; Trematoda; Strigeidida; Schistosomatidae. The record is from RNAcentral.
AUCCAGCUGACAAGUCGCAAGUAAGAUGGAACGCGCGUCCUGGAC